This 468-nucleotide ribosomal RNA is filed under the name uncultured bacterium. Its description in RNAcentral is "partial 16S ribosomal RNA". It matches the Rfam family "Bacterial small subunit ribosomal RNA", at positions 28 to 507 of the family's 1533-position model. The record is from RNAcentral.
GACGAACGCUGGCGGCGUGCUUAACACAUGCAAGUCGAACGGAAAGGCCCUGCUUUUGUGGGGUGCUCGAGUGGCGAACGGGUGAGUAACACGUGAGUAACCUGCCCUUGACUUUGGGAUAACUUCAGGAAACUGGGGCUAAUACCGGAUAGGAGCUCCUGCUGCAUGGUGGGGGUUGGAAAGUUUCGGCGGUUGGUGAUGGACUCGCGGCUUAUCAGCUUGUUGGUGGGGUAGUGGCUUACCAAGGCUUUGACGGGUAGCCGGCCUGAGAGGGUGACCGGCCACAUUGGGACUGAGAUACGGCCCAGACUCCUACGGGAGGCAGCAGUGGGGAAUAUUGCACAAUGGGCGGAAGCCUGAUGCAGCAACGCCGCGUGCGGGAUGACGGCCUUCGGGUUGUAAACCGCUUUCGCCUGUGACGAAGCGUGAGUGACGGUAAUGGGUAAAGAGGCACCGGCUAACUACGUG